This 497-nucleotide ribosomal RNA is filed under the name uncultured bacterium. RNAcentral describes it as "partial 16S ribosomal RNA". It matches the Rfam family "Bacterial small subunit ribosomal RNA", at positions 899 to 1397 of the family's 1533-position model. The record is from RNAcentral.
ACUCAAAUGAAUAGACGGGGGCCCGCACAAGCGGUGGAGUAUGUGGUUUAAUUCGAUGCAACACGAAAAACCUUACCUACUUUUGACAUCUAGAGAAUUUGAUUGAAAGAUUGAAGUGCCGCAAGGAGCUCUAAGACAGGUGCUGCAUGGCUGUCGUCAGCUCGUGUUGUGAAAUGUUGGGUUAAGUCCUGUAACGAGCGCAACCCCUGUUCUGUGUUGCUAACAUUAAGUUGAGGACUCGCAGAAGACUAUCGGUGAUAAACCGGGGGAAGGUGGGGACGACGUCAAGUCAUCAUGGCUUUCACAAGUAGGGCUACACACGUGCUACAAUGGUUGGUAUAAAGGGACGCGAACUCGUAAGAGGGGGCAAAUCUCAAAAAACCAAUCUCAGUCCGGAUUGAGGUCUGAAACUCGACCUCAUGAAGUCGGAAUCGCUAGUAAUCGCAAAUCAGAAGGUUGCGGUGAAUACGUUCUCGGGCCUUGCACACACCGCCCGU